Molecule: ribosomal RNA, 253 nt
Filed under: uncultured bacterium
Lineage: Bacteria
Description: partial 16S ribosomal RNA
Rfam family: Bacterial small subunit ribosomal RNA
Source: RNAcentral
UACGUAGGGUGCGAGCGUUACUCGGAAUUACUGGGCGUAAAGCGUGCGCAGGCGGUUUUGUAAGUCUGUCGUGAAAUCCCCGGGCUCAACCUGGGAAUUGCGAUGGAGACUGCAAGGCUAGAAUCUGGCAGAGGGGGGUAGAAUUCCACGUGUAGCAGUGAAAUGCGUAGAUAUCGGGAGGAACACCUGUGGCGAAAGCGGCGCACUGGACCAUAACUGACGCUGAUGCACGAAAGCUAGGGGAGCAAACAGG